This 72-nucleotide transfer RNA is filed under the name Myxococcales bacterium. RNAcentral's name for it is "tRNA-Val". It matches the Rfam family "tRNA". Rfam says of the family: Transfer RNA (tRNA) molecules are approximately 80 nucleotides in length. Their secondary structure includes four short double-helical elements and three loops (D, anti-codon, and T loops). Lineage: Bacteria; Pseudomonadati; Myxococcota; Myxococcia; Myxococcales. The record is from RNAcentral.
UGGCGCGUAGCUCAGGGGGAGAGCGCUACGUUGACACCGUAGAGGUCGGCGGUUCAAUUCCGCCCGCGCCAA